Molecule: ribosomal RNA, 301 nt
Filed under: uncultured bacterium
Lineage: Bacteria
Description: partial 16S ribosomal RNA
Rfam family: Bacterial small subunit ribosomal RNA
Source: RNAcentral
CAGUCGCCACGGGAAAACGAAGGGGGCUAGCGUUGUUCGGAAUUACUGGGCGUAAAGGGCGCGUAGGCGGCCAUUCAAGUUAGAUGUGAAAGCCCUGGGCUCAACCUAGGAAUUGCAUUUGAUACUGUUUGGCUUGAGUUCGGGAGAGGUGAGUGGAAUUCCCAGUGUAGAGGUGAAAUUCGUAGAUAUUGGGAAGAACACCAAUGGCGAAGGCGGCUCACUGGACCGACACUGACGCUGAGGCGCGAAAGCGUGGGGAGCAAACAGGAUUAGAUACCCCCGUAGUCCCUGUCUCUUAUAC